GAUGAACGCUGGCGGCGUGCCUAAUACAUGCAAGUCGAGCGAACAGACGAGGAGCUUGCUCCUCUGACGUUAGCGGCGGACGGGUGAGUAACACGUGGAUAACCUAUCUAUAAGACUGGGAUAACCUCGGGAAACCGGAGCUAAUACCGGAUAAUAUAUUGAACCGCAUGGUUCAAUAGUGAAAGACGGUUUUGCUGUCACUUAUAGAUGGAUCCGCGCCGCAUUAGCUAGUUGGUAAGGUAACGGCUUACCAAGGCAACGAUGCGUAGCCGACCUGAGAGGGUGAUCGGCCACACUGGAACUGAGACACGGUCCAGACUCCUACGGGGGGCAGCAGUAGGGAAUCUUCCGCGAUGGGCGAAAGCUUGACGGAGCAACGCCGCGUGAGUGAUGAAGGUCUUCGGAUCGGAAAACUCUGUUAUUAGGGAAGAACAAAUGUGUAAGUAACUAUGCACGUCUUGACGGUACCGAAUCAGAAAGCCACGGCUAACUACGUG
This 497-nucleotide ribosomal RNA is filed under the name uncultured bacterium. RNAcentral describes it as "partial 16S ribosomal RNA". It matches the Rfam family "Bacterial small subunit ribosomal RNA", at positions 28 to 507 of the family's 1533-position model. The record is from RNAcentral.